CCUACGGGGGGCUGCAGUGGGGAAUAUUGGACAAUGGGGGCAACCCUGAUCCAGCCAUGCCGCGUGUGUGAAGAAGGCCCUCGGGUUGUAAAGCACUUUCAGUGAGGAAGAACGCCUGGUGGUUAAUACCCAUCAGGAAAGACAUCACUCACAGAAGAAGCACCGGCUAACUCCGUGCCAGCAGCCGCGGUAAUACGGAGGGUGCGAGCGUUAAUCGGAAUUACUGGGCGUAAAGCGCGCGUAGGUGGCUUGAUAAGCCGGUUGUGAAAGCCCCGGGCUCAACCUGGGAACGGCAUCCGGAACUGUCAAGCUAGAGUGCAGGAGAGGAAGGUAGAAUUCCCGGUGUAGCGGUGAAAUGCGUAGAGAUCGGGAGGAAUACCAGUGGCGAAGGCGGCCUUCUGGACUGACACUGACCCUGAGGUGCGAAAGCGUGGGUAGCAAACAGGAUUAGAUACCCUGGUAGUC
Molecule: ribosomal RNA, 465 nt
Filed under: Vreelandella stevensii
Lineage: Bacteria; Pseudomonadati; Pseudomonadota; Gammaproteobacteria; Oceanospirillales; Halomonadaceae
Description: partial 16S ribosomal RNA
Rfam family: Bacterial small subunit ribosomal RNA
Source: RNAcentral